CCAGACUCCUACGGGAGGCAGCAGUGAGGAAUAUUGGUCAAUGGGCGAGAGCCUGAACCAGCCAAGUCGCGUGAGGGAGUACUGCCCUAUGGGUUGUAAACCUCUUUUGUCGGGGAGCAAAGCCGGACGUGUCCGGCUGUGAGAGUACCCGAAGAAAAAGCAUCGGCUAACUCCGUGCCAGCAGCCGCGGUAAUACGGAGGAUGCGAGCGUUAUCCGGAUUUAUUGGGUUUAAAGGGUGCGCAGGCGGAUUUUUAAGUCAGCGGUCAAAUCGUGGGGCUCAACCCCAUCCAGCCGUCGGAACUGCCGGGCUAGAGUGGGCGAGAAGUGCGCGGAAUGCGUGGUGUAGCGGUGAAAUGCAUAGAUAUCACGCAGAACUCCGAUUGCGAAGGCAGCGCACCGGCGCCCUACUGACGCUCAGGCACGAAAGCGUGGGUAUCGAACAGGAUUAGAUACCCUGGUACGC
RNAcentral lists this ribosomal RNA (464 nucleotides) under uncultured bacterium. RNAcentral describes it as "partial 16S ribosomal RNA". It matches the Rfam family "Bacterial small subunit ribosomal RNA", at positions 331 to 795 of the family's 1533-position model. The record is from RNAcentral.